UACGUAGGGUGCAAGCGUUAAUCGGAAUUAAUGGGCGUAAAGCGUGCGCAGGCGGUUUUGUAAGUCUGUCGUGAAAGCCCCGGGCUCAACAUGGGAAUUGCGAUGGAGACUGCAAGGCUUGAAUCUGGCAGAGGGGGGUAGAAUUCCACGUGUAGCAGUGAAAUGCGUAGAGAUGUGGAGGAACACCGAUGGCGAAGGCAGCCCCCUGGGUCAAGAUUGACGCUCAUGCACGAAAGCGUGGGGAGCAAACAGG
Molecule: ribosomal RNA, 253 nt
Filed under: uncultured bacterium
Lineage: Bacteria
Description: partial 16S ribosomal RNA
Rfam family: Bacterial small subunit ribosomal RNA
Source: RNAcentral